GAUGAACGCUGGCGGCGUGCCUAAUACAUGCAAGUCGAGCGAACGGACGAGAAGCUUGCUUUUCUGAUGUUAGCGGCGGACGGGUGAGUAACACGUGGAUAACCUACCUAUAAGACUGGGAUAACUUCGGGAAACCGGAGCUAAUAUCGGAUAAUAUUUUGAACCGCAUGGUUCAAAAGUGAAAGACGGUCUUGCUGUCACUUAUAGAUGGAUCCGCGCUGCAUUAGCUAGUUGGUAAGGUAACGGCUUACCAAGGCAACGAUGCAUAGCCGACCUGAGAGGGUGAUCGGCCACACUGGAACUGAGACACGGUCCAGACUCCUACGGGAGGCAGCAGUAGGGAAUCUUCCGCAAUAGGCGAAAGCCUGACGGAGCAACGCCGCGUGAGUGAUGAAGGUCUUCGGAUCGUAAAACUCUGUUAUUAGGGAAGAACAUAUGUGUAAGUAACUGUGCACAUCUUGACGGUACCUAAUCAGAAAGCCACGGCUAACUACGUG
Molecule: ribosomal RNA, 497 nt
Filed under: uncultured bacterium
Lineage: Bacteria
Description: partial 16S ribosomal RNA
Rfam family: Bacterial small subunit ribosomal RNA
Source: RNAcentral